This 725-nucleotide ribosomal RNA is filed under the name uncultured bacterium. RNAcentral's name for it is "bacterial SSU rRNA". It matches the Rfam family "Bacterial small subunit ribosomal RNA", at positions 771 to 1501 of the family's 1533-position model. The record is from RNAcentral.
AACAGGAUUAGAUACCCUGGUAGUCCACGCCCUAAACGAUGUCUACUAGUUGUCGGGUCUUAAUUGACCUGGUAACGCAGCUAACGCGUGAAGUAGACCGCCUGGGGAGUACGGUCGCAAGAUUAAAACUCAAAGGAAUUGACGGGGACCCGCACAAGCGGUGGAUGAUGUGGAUUAAUUCGAUGCAACGCGAAAAACCUUACCUACCCUUGACAUGGUCGGAAUCCUGGAGAGAUCUGGGAGUGCUCGAAAGAGAACCGGCGCACAGGUGCUGCAUGGCUGUCGUCAGCUCGUGUCGUGAGAUGUUGGGUUAAGUCCCGCAACGAGCGCAACCCUUGUCAUUAGUUGCUACGAAAGGGCACUCUAAUGAGACUGCCGGUGACAAACCGGAGGAAGGUGGGGAUGACGUCAAGUCCUCAUGGCCCUUAUGGGUAGGGCUUCACACGUCAUACAAUGGUACAUACAGAGGGCUGCCAACCCGCGAGGGGGAGCUAAUCCCAGAAAGUGUAUCGUAGUCCGGAUUGCAGUCUGCAACUCGACUGCAUGAAGUUGGAAUCGCUAGUAAUCGCGGAUCAGCAUGUCGCGGUGAAUACGUUCCCGGGUCUUGUACACACCGCCCGUCACACCAUGGGAGCGGGUUUUACCAGAAGUAGGUAGCCUAACCGCAAGGAGGGCGCUUACCACGGUAGGAUUCGUGACUGGGGUGAAGUCGUAACAAGGUAACC